CCAAUAGCGUAUAUUAAAGUUGUUGCAGUUAAAAAGCUCGUAGUUGAAUUUCGGGAUCGACGGGUCGGUCGCGCCUCUGGUGUGUACUGGCCCUGUCGGUUUCUCCCUUCUGACGAACCACGAUGUCAUUAAUUUGGUGUCGUGGGAAAUCAGGACUGUUACUUUGAAAAAAUUAGAGUGUUUAAAGCAGGCAUUCGCUUGAAUACAUUAGCAUGGAAUAAUGAAAUAGGACGUUUGAUCUUAUUUUGUUGGUUUCUAAGAUCGACGUAAUGAUUAAUAGGGAUAGUUGGGGGCAUUAGUAUUCAAUUGUCAGAGGUGAAAUUCUUGGAUUUAUUGAAGACUAACUACUGCGAAAGCAUUUGCCAAGGAUGUUUUCAUUAAUCAAGAACGAAAGUUAGGGGAUCGAAGACGAUCAGAUACCGUCGUAGUCUUAACCAUAAACUAUGCCGACUAGGGAUCGGAUGAUGUUAAUUUUUUAAUGACUCAUUCGGCGCCUUACG
RNAcentral lists this non-coding RNA (500 nucleotides) under uncultured Glomus. RNAcentral describes it as "SSU rRNA". It matches the Rfam family "Eukaryotic small subunit ribosomal RNA", at positions 591 to 1092 of the family's 1831-position model. The record is from RNAcentral. Lineage: Eukaryota; Fungi; Glomeromycota; Glomeromycetes; Glomerales; Glomeraceae. RNAcentral also lists the same sequence under 1 other name.